This 253-nucleotide ribosomal RNA is filed under the name uncultured bacterium. Its description in RNAcentral is "partial 16S ribosomal RNA". It matches the Rfam family "Bacterial small subunit ribosomal RNA", at positions 524 to 776 of the family's 1533-position model. The record is from RNAcentral.
UACGUAGGGUGCGAGCGUUAAUCGGAAUUAUUGGGCGUAAAGCGCACGCAGGCGGCAAAGUAAGUCAGUUGUGAAACUCCUGGGCUCAACCUGGGAACUGCGUUUGAAACUACAAGGCUAGAGUGUGGCAGAGGGGGGUGGAAUUCCACGUGUAGCAGUGAAAUGCGUAGAGAUGUGGAGGAACACCGAUGGCGAAGGCAGCCCCCUGGGUUAACACUGACGCUCAGGCACGAAAGCGUGGGGAGCAAACAGG